UACGUAGGGCGCAAGCGUUAUCCGGAAUUAUUGGGCGUAAAGAGCUCGUAGGCGGUUUGUCGCGUCUGCCGUGAAAGUCCGGGGCUUAACCCCGGAUCUGCGGUGGGUACGGGCAGACUAGAGUGCAGUAGGGGAGACUGGAAUUCCUGGUGUAGCGGUGAAAUGCGCAGAUAUCGGGAGGAACACCGAUGGCGAAGGCAGGUCUCUGGGCUGUAACUGACGCUGAGACGCGAAAGCGUGGGGAGCGAACAGG
RNAcentral lists this ribosomal RNA (253 nucleotides) under uncultured bacterium. RNAcentral describes it as "partial 16S ribosomal RNA". It matches the Rfam family "Bacterial small subunit ribosomal RNA", at positions 524 to 776 of the family's 1533-position model. The record is from RNAcentral.